UACCAGCCCCCCGAGUGGUCGGGACGAUUAUUGGGCCUAAAGCAUCCGUAGCCGGUCUUGCAAGUCUUCCGUUAAAUCCACCUGCUUAACAGAUGGGCUGCGGAAGAUACUACAAGACUAGGAGGCGGGAGAGGCAAGCGGUACUCAGUGGGUAGGGGUAAAAUCCUCUGAUCCAUUGAAGACCACCAGUGGCGAAGGCGGCUUGCCAGAACGCGCUCGACGGUGAGGGAUGAAAGCUGGGGGAGCAAAC
This 250-nucleotide ribosomal RNA is filed under the name uncultured bacterium. RNAcentral describes it as "partial 16S ribosomal RNA". It matches the Rfam family "Archaeal small subunit ribosomal RNA", at positions 474 to 724 of the family's 1478-position model. The record is from RNAcentral.